UCGCCAGACUCCUACGGGAGGCAGCAGUGGGGGAUAUUGCACAAUGGGGGGAACCCUGAUGCAGCGACGCCGCGUGGGUGAAGGAGCGUUUCGGCGCGUAAAGCCCUAUCGGCAGGGAAGAAGGAGGAUGGUACCUGACUAAGAAGCCCCGGCUAACUACGUGCCAGCAGCCGCGGUAAUACGUAGGGGGCAAGCGUUAUCCGGAUUUACUGGGUGUAAAGGGGGCGCAGACGGCAGCGCAAGCCAGGAGUGAAAGCCCGGGGCCCAACCCCGGGACUGCUCUUGGAACUGCGCGGCUGGAGUGCAGGAGGGGCAGGCGGAAUUCCUAGUGUAGCGGUGAAAUGCGUAGAUAUAUGGAAGAACACCAGUGGCGAAGGCGGCCGCCUGGCCUGUUGCUGACGCUGAGGCACGAAAGCGUGGGGAGCAAAUAGGAUUAGAUACCCCGGUACG
Molecule: ribosomal RNA, 450 nt
Filed under: uncultured bacterium
Lineage: Bacteria
Description: partial 16S ribosomal RNA
Rfam family: Bacterial small subunit ribosomal RNA
Source: RNAcentral